Molecule: transfer RNA, 73 nt
Filed under: Bos taurus (domestic cattle)
Lineage: Eukaryota; Metazoa; Chordata; Mammalia; Artiodactyla; Bovidae
Rfam family: tRNA
About the family: Transfer RNA (tRNA) molecules are approximately 80 nucleotides in length. Their secondary structure includes four short double-helical elements and three loops (D, anti-codon, and T loops).
Source: Rfam by way of RNAcentral
UCCCUGGUAGUUCAAUGGCUAGGACUCUGCGCUCCCAGUGCAGGUGGUCUGGGUUCAACCCCUGUUCAGGGAA